UACAGGGGGUGCAAACGUUGCUCGGAAUUAUUGGGCGUAAAGCGCGCGUAGGCGGCUACCUAAGUCGGAUGUGAAAGCCCCUGGCUUAACUGGGGAAGUGCACCCGAAACUGGGUAGCUAGAGUGCAAAAGAGGGUCGCGGAAUUCCCGGUGUAGAGGUGAAAUUCGUAGAUAUUCGCAAGAACACCAGUGGCGAAGGCGGCUCACUGGCCCGGUACUGACGCUGAGGUGCGAAAGCGUGGGGAGCAAACAGG
RNAcentral lists this ribosomal RNA (253 nucleotides) under uncultured bacterium. RNAcentral describes it as "partial 16S ribosomal RNA". It matches the Rfam family "Bacterial small subunit ribosomal RNA", at positions 524 to 776 of the family's 1533-position model. The record is from RNAcentral.